Molecule: long non-coding RNA, 424 nt
Filed under: Mytilus galloprovincialis (Mediterranean mussel)
Lineage: Eukaryota; Metazoa; Mollusca; Bivalvia; Mytilida; Mytilidae
Source: RNAcentral
CAAGGGUUAACCCACGAUUUUUUCUUAUAAUGUCCUGAACCAAAUAAGGAAAUGGAAAUUGUUAUCUUAUAGUUCGUUUCUGUGUGUGUGUUGCAUUGUCGUUUGGUGUUUUUUUUUUUGCAAAAUAGUGUUUCUAAUGUUUCGUUGUUUUCCUGUUAUAUUUGAUGUGCUUCCCUCAUUUUUAGUUUGUAACCCGGAUUUAUUUUCUCUAAAUCGGUUUAUGACUUUUGGACAGCGGUAUACUAAUGUUGCCUUUAUCUAUAAGAAAUACAUUGUGUUACAUUUUUUCUCACAAAACAAACAGUGUGUUGUCUCACUGGAAAUCAUACCACAUCUUCCUUUUUUGUACGAAAUCAAACUCCAUCUGUCCCUCACUCAGAUUUUAGCUGUAAUAAGCUUAACAUGACAGAUUAUUUUACAAGCC